RNAcentral lists this ribosomal RNA (87 nucleotides) under uncultured bacterium. RNAcentral describes it as "partial 16S ribosomal RNA". The record is from RNAcentral.
CACAUCACGAAAGUGGAUUGUACUAGAAGUCUGUGCGCUGACCCGCAAGGGAGGCAGCGGCCCAAGGUAUGAUUCAUGAUUGGGGUG